RNAcentral lists this long non-coding RNA (2363 nucleotides) under Solanum lycopersicum (tomato). RNAcentral's name for it is "partial TCONS_00000089". Lineage: Eukaryota; Viridiplantae; Streptophyta; Magnoliopsida; Solanales; Solanaceae. The record is from RNAcentral.
AAUAUGAACUAUAAAUUUAUUUUGAAGUUAAAAGCUGCCCAGAGAAGGAGAAAUUAAUUAUUACUGUGGGUAAAUGUAGGGUUAGUGGUUCUAUUUAUAUAUAGUGGAGUGAGAGGAAGCUAGGGUUUUGGGGAUUGGGCUUUUAACAUAGUCGUGAAGUUAGGCCCAUAAGUAUGAAGCCCAUUUAUUUCAAAGCUUGGUUGGGUUGUCUUUUAAGGGGUCGUUAGGUAGCUCGAUAAGAAAGAACUUUAUGUAUUUAUUUUCGUAUAAUUUAUAUGAUAUGUUGUAGAGGUUGCAUAAAUAUUGAAAAUUUGAAACACAAAAUCGAAUCAAAUUUUUUCAGAGUUUCGAUUUCGGUAUUUCAGUUCUCAGUUCGGUACUCAAUUUACUUUUUUAUAUUUUGGUUUGAUUUUCGAUACGUAUUAUUUCGAUUUUUGAUAUUUCAAUUUAAACUGAAAUAUUAUACUAUAAUUUAUAUAAAUUAUAUAAUAAUAAUUAAAAAUUAUAAAUGUUAAAUAAUUUUUUUUUAAAAAAUAAUGUGAAACUUAUGUAAUGUCUAUAUUCCUAAUUUAAUUUUUAAUAUUCAUCUUCCAGCCUCCUCUUAUUCCACUUCCUUUUACAGGCAGCAGCCGAUGGCAACGACUUCAAGUCUUCAACCGGCGACCAGCAGCCAGGUAUUCGGUACAUAAUUAAUAAAAUCGAAAUAACAAAAACUGAACUGAACCAAAAUAUUUAAAUUUGAUAUUCGGUACACAAUUUACAAGAAUCAAAAACCAAAAAAAAAAUCGAACCAAAAUAGCGAACGCCUACCCCUAAUAUUUUGUAGAAUGAUACAUUAUUUAUUUAAGAAAAAAUGAUAAAUAUAUCUAAACUGUCGUAAACCAUUUAUGAUACAAGAGAGUAUUUGCAAUCUAAAUGCAAGGAUAUUUGCAUACCAUUUAUGAUGGUUCAAAAAUAUAUUAUUCUUUUUACUAUUUAUUUAUGAAUUAAUACGAGUUUGAUUGACAAUUUAGAAAACUAUCCAACUAGUACAUUUAUACAUUAUAAGAGAAUUUAUGCCUUGUUUUAUUCAUUAACUAAUACUUUUAUAAAAUAAGAUUAAUUUAUGAUUAAUUUCUACAUUACUAAUAGCUACCUAACGAUCAAAAUGUGGUAGUUAUACAGUACUAUAUUGUUUGGUACAAAUUUUGAUGUUAUGUAAUAAAAUGUGGUAGUUAUACAGUACUAUAUUGUUUGGUACAAAUUUUGAUGUUAUGUAAUUAACUAGCAUCGUAUAUUGAGUAUUAUAAGAUGUAUAACUAAUACACUUUCGAUCUAGAUUGCUUGAUGUUCAUAGGGUGAAUAAUAAAUAAAAUUCAUACGCCAAAAAAUAAACUUAAAUAUUUUUAAAAAAGAAAAUAAUUCAAAAUAUAUAACACUUAUCAAAUUGUUAUAACAAACUCGAACUUUGAGCAUUUCAAUAUUUACAAUAUUGACGUGAAUGUCUAUAUAUCUGUAGGAUUAUACAACAUUAAAUAGUUAUGUCCUAAAUUUCAUUUAUUUCGUUACAAAAGACAUUUUGAUAUAUCUUGUGAAUCUAUGAUAUUAUGUCUUCAUAUUUACACUACAAAAAACACAAUGUGAAUUAUUUGAGAUUUUCCUAAGAGUAAUAUGUAAAUUCAAAAAUUAUUUAUUUUCUUUGUGAAUUUUCAUACUACUUUCCAAAAAAAUCACACAUAAUUCACAAUUUUCUCACAGUAUUUUGAUCAUCAUUGGCAAAAAAAUAAUAAUUAAAAAAACAAUAAAAUAAUUAUUUAAUCAUUAUAAUAAAAAAAAUUUAAACAUUACAAAUAAAUCAUGUAGUACCCCAACGUCCAAAUACACCACAAAAAAUUAGAUGCAAAGGAUAGCGAGGGGAACUUUAUUAUAGCUUCACUUACUAAAAUAUCACACUAUAAAAAGUGUGAUACACAAAAAUAUGUAAUUAGCAAAGCAUAUUAUAAAUCUACGCAAACCUUAUCGUUAUCUCGUAAAAAUAUAAUAUGACAAACAACUCAGUCCCUUAGAUGUUCAUAAUUAAUUGUGAUCAUUUUCACAAAUCAUUACAGGUCUGUAACUGUAAAAAAAUUACUCAUCAUUGUUUAUUCAUCGAAAAAAAAAUAUCAUGCAAAAAAAUAAUAUAGCUAUUCCAGUUAUUCUCCACAAAAAAAUUAAAUUAAAUGAGGAGAAAGAUGAAUAAAUGGAACAACACAAAUUAUUAUUGCUUCAAGGGAACGAGUUGAUCAAAAAUAAAAUAUUUUUUGCCAACCAGAUUAAAGAAGCAUAUAUAACUCAAAAUAAUAUAUAAAUAAACACAACUUUAUUUAGAAGUUAGGAGAUAAAUC